GUGAGGAAUAUUGGUCAAUGGGCGAAAGCCUGAACCAGCCAUGUCGCGUGAAGGAUGAAGGUCCUAUGGAUUGUAAACUUCUUUUGCAGGAGGGUAAAGUGAGCUACGUGUAGUUCAUUGCAAGUACCCUGCGAAUAAGCAUCGGCUAACUCCGUGCCAGCAGCCGCGGUAAUACGGAGGAUGCGAGCGUUAUCCGGAUUUAUUGGGUUUAAAGGGUGCGUAGGCGGACUAAUUAGUCAGCGGUGAAAUUUUGCGGCUCAACCGUAAAACUGCCGUUGAAACUGUUAGUAUUGAGUGCGGUAGAGGUAGGCGGAAUGUGUGGUGUAGCGGUGAAAUGCUUAGAUAUCACACAGAACACCGAUUGCGUAGGCAGCUUACUGGAGUGCAACUGACGCUGAGGCACGAAAGCGUGGGGAUCGAACAGGAUUAGAUACCCUAGUAGUCC
This 445-nucleotide ribosomal RNA is filed under the name uncultured bacterium. RNAcentral describes it as "partial 16S ribosomal RNA". It matches the Rfam family "Bacterial small subunit ribosomal RNA", at positions 354 to 796 of the family's 1533-position model. The record is from RNAcentral.